CCUGGAUUCAGCGGCGGACGGGUGAGUAAUGCCUAGGAAUCUGCCUGGUAGUGGGGGAUAACGUCCGGAAACGGGCGCUAAUACCGCAUACGUCCUGAGGGAGAAAGUGGGGGAUCUUCGGACCUCACGCUAUCAGAUGAGCCUAGGUCGGAUUAGCUAGUUGGUGGGGUAAAGGCCUACCAAGGCGACGAUCCGUAACUGGUCUGAGAGGAUGAUCAGUCACACUGGAACUGAGACACGGUCCAGACUCCUACGGGAGGCAGCAGUGGGGAAUAUUGGACAAUGGGCGAAAGCCUGAUCCAGCCAUGCCGCGUGUGUGAAGAAGGUCUUCGGAUUGUAAAGCACUUUAAGUUGGGAGGAAGGGCAGUAAGUUAAUACCUUGCUGUUUUGACGUUACCAACAGAAUAAGCACCGGCUAACUUCGUGCCAGCAGCCGCGGUAAUACGAAGGGUGCAAGCGUUAAUCGGAAUUACUGGGCGUAAAGCGCGCGUAGGUGGUUCAGCAAGUUGGAUGUGAAAUCCCCGGGCUCAACCUGGGAACUGCAUCCAAAACUACUGAGCUAGAGUACGGUAGAGGGUGGUGGAAUUUCCUGUGUAGCGGUGAAAUGCGUAGAUAUAGGAAGGAACACCAGUGGCGAAGGCGACCACCUGGACU
RNAcentral lists this ribosomal RNA (654 nucleotides) under uncultured Pseudomonadota bacterium. Its description in RNAcentral is "bacterial SSU rRNA". It matches the Rfam family "Bacterial small subunit ribosomal RNA", at positions 85 to 735 of the family's 1533-position model. The record is from RNAcentral. Lineage: Bacteria; Pseudomonadati; Pseudomonadota.